UUAACUUGAGCAUGCAUAGCGUGGGAUGUCAAUCUUAAUACGAAAUAUGUGUCUCCAAUAUUUGUGAUAAUUGAAAAAGUGACAAUAGUCUUACUUACCUUACAUGAUUACUGUAUAUGGUUUAUCUUCAACCAGCCAACAUUCCAAAAUGGAUGAAUUCUGUGCUGGUCUUGUCAGUGAAACAGUCAACAAGAAAAACAAGACUCAAGAGGGGAUGAAUGUUGUGUAUCUUACCAAAGAAGAGCAGCGCGAGGUUCUGUUUCGGCAGUACCAGCAUUGUGCUUGCAGGAUGUACCGGGAACCAUACAACCUGUCUGAAAGGUACUGUAAUCGUACCUGGGACAACAUAAUGUGUUGGGAUGACACACCGGCUGAUACUGUAACAUUCCAGCAGUGUCCCGAAUACAUCAACAGCUUUACCACAAACAAUUAUGCAUCCCGGACCUGUCUCCCUAACGGUACUUGGGCAAGUCAUCCAGGCGUGGCUGGCAGUGACCUGACCGGCUGGACCAACUACACAGCGUGCCAGACUAAUCAAACCGCCGAUGGUAGACUAGAGAACGACGACUCUUCUGAUGUCCCUAAUAUUUUCAUGGAGAAUUUCCAACAAUUGCAGCUGAUGUAUAACAUCGGGUACGCUAUCUCUCUCUCUUCACUCGUCGUCGCAUUCACUAUUAUGAUAUUCUUCAGGAAACUGCAUUGUUCCCGCAAUUCGAUACAUCUAAAUCUCUUCGCUUCAUUCAUCCUGCGGGCUGCUAUAAGCCUUAUUAAGGACAAUUUCAUGGUGAAAGGACUUGGAUUUCCUGGAGAUGUCGUGUACAACGACACUGGAGGACUCGUCGUGUUUACGGAUGGACCGCACUGGGAAUGUCGCCUCUUCUUCUCUGUGUUCCAAUACGCGGUGGCCUGCAGCUAUGUGUGGAUUUUCAUCGAGGCCAUAUACCUUCACAUGUUGAUAUUUGUCUCAGUAUUCACAGAAAAGGUUAAGGUCCGCUGGUUCAUCCUAUUCGGGUGGAUGUUCCCAGUCACCUUCAUUUUAGCAUGGUGCGUGUCUAGAUAUUCGCUGGACAACACAUUUUGCUGGAACAUGCACAGCAAUAAACCGGGGCUUGUGUGGAUAAUCAAAGGGCCCAUCAUGGUGACCGUCGUAUUAAACUUCAUUUCAUUCAUCAACAUCUUACGGGUUCUCUAUACAAAACUGGCCUCAAACUUGUGUCCAGAUUCAAACAAACAUAGACACCGGCGUCUGGCCAGAAGUACCCUGUUCUUGGUGCCGACAUUUGGGGUAUACUACAUCAUCUUUACUAUUCCGAUCCCAACCGUGAACGAGAAUGUCGAUUUCGUCAUGCUCUUCAUUGAAAUGUUCUUCAACUCCUUCCAGGGAUUCUUUAUUGCGUUGAUACUGUGCUUCAUCAACGCUGAGGUAAAACUGUCAUGGCACGAUCAAAUUGCGGAGAUUUGGAAUGCUGGACAACUAUUAUCCCGAAUCGUUAGUUUUUGCUGAAAUAUCAUUUAUCAUACACUGGAAGAAAUAAAAGUAUAUCGUUACAGCACAAUUUGACCAUAAUGAGCAGCGAGUUGUGUAUAUUUGUUUCUCGAAGGACAACUAACGUCGUAAAUAAUAUUACAAAAGCCACAUACCAUUCAUGACCAUUACUGCAUUGAUUCAGGUCCUCACAUAUCAAAGUUGUGAUACAAACCAUCAGUAUAACAACAGACUAUGGUAAUUGUAGGUGCGGAUACAGAUCAGACGUCAGUUGGUGGUGUGGGGCGUAUGUAGGUGUUGGGAUCGUCCCUUCCUUUCAACCAAGACAGACUACGUACGCUCGCAAUGUGGCAACUUCAGGGAUCCCAAAGAUGGAGAUGAGACAACGGAGCUGAA
Mya arenaria is the source of this 1882-nucleotide RNA transcript. It is a transcript of the gene named parathyroid hormone/parathyroid hormone-related peptide receptor-like, with no coding region annotated. NCBI's taxonomy places the organism in Eukaryota, Metazoa, Mollusca, Bivalvia, Myida, Myidae. The record is from RefSeq and is a predicted model, not a curated record. The transcript is spliced from 15 exons.